Long non-coding RNA from Sebastes umbrosus (honeycomb rockfish), 450 nucleotides. RefSeq lists it as uncharacterized. NCBI's taxonomy places the organism in Eukaryota, Metazoa, Chordata, Actinopteri, Perciformes, Sebastidae. The record is from RefSeq and is a predicted model, not a curated record. The transcript has 3 exons.
UGUAUUCUUACAGCUGUCUGUGGGUGUAGAUAAGAACCUGUUCAGUGUUUCACAUGGUGCUGUGGAGUCUAUGGGAGUCACACUGCUCAUAAUCAUGAUUAUAAUCACCAUUCUUCUGUGUGCUCUCGUAAAUAAGGUCAAAAGCCAAACUAAUGAUGUUAUUCCUGCAAAGAUCCUGGUCCAACAGAAAACUAUAAGCGAGAACAGUGACCUUUACGUGACCUGCAGCACAUUUGGGCUCAAGGAGCAGAUCACGGUUUAUGUUUAUUUGUGUAACGGUGACCUUUGUAUCGAGAAAACGAAGCAGAAGCGGGAUCAAGAUGACACCAUCUUCAUCAUACGCAGAGUUGGUCUUCAUCACAGUGGAAACUACAGCUGGUGUUUACUCCAUAAACAAUGAUUCGCUUUCCAAAGUAGCCCAGAGAGGACUCAACGUCAUUCAGAUUCUGG